GCGAGGUAACGGCUCACCAAGGCAACGACGGGUAGCUGGUCUGAGAGGAUGGCCAGCCACAUUGGGAUUGAGAUACGGCCCAGACUCCUACGGGAGGCAGCAGUGGGGAAUCUUGCGCAAUGGCCUAACGGCUGACGCAGCGACGCCGCGUGUGGGAUGAAGCUCUUCGGAGUGUAAACCACUGUUGCCCGGGACGAACAGCUCGAUUAGUCGAGCCUGACGGUACCGGGUGAGGAAGCACCGGCUAACUCCGUGCCAGCAGCCGCGGUAAUACGGGGGGUGCGAGCGUUGUCCGGAAUCACUGGGCGUAAAGGGCGCGUAGGUGGUUUGAUAAGGGUGUGGUGAAAGUCCGGGGCUCAACCCCGGAUCUGCCGUGCCGACUGUCAAACUCGAGGACUGUAGAGGCAGACGGAAUUCCGGGUGUAGCGGUGGAAUGCGUAGAGAUCCGGAGGAAGACCGGUGGCGAAGGCGGUCUGCUGGGCAGUUUCUGACACUGAGGCGCGACAGCGUGGGGAGCAAACAGGAUUAGAUACCCUGGUAGUCCACGCCGUAAACGAUGGGUACUAGGUGCCUGGGGGAGCGACCCUCUGGGUGCCGGCGCUAACGCAGGAAGUACCCCGCCUGGGGAGUACGACCGCAAGGUUGAAACUCAAAGGAAUUGACG
Molecule: ribosomal RNA, 664 nt
Filed under: uncultured Gemmatimonadota bacterium
Lineage: Bacteria; Pseudomonadati; Gemmatimonadota
Description: SSU rRNA
Rfam family: Bacterial small subunit ribosomal RNA
Source: RNAcentral